GAGCCUGUAGCCUAAUCUGGGCGGCAUUGUCCGGGAUGAAUAGGGCGACAGCCUCCUAAGCUGUAGGUUCGGGGUUCGAAUCCCCGCAGGCUCG
This 94-nucleotide transfer RNA is filed under the name Candidatus Iainarchaeum sp. RNAcentral's name for it is "tRNA-Arg". It matches the Rfam family "tRNA". From Rfam's summary of the family: Transfer RNA (tRNA) molecules are approximately 80 nucleotides in length. Lineage: Archaea; Nanobdellati; Candidatus Iainarchaeota; Candidatus Iainarchaeia; Candidatus Iainarchaeales; Candidatus Iainarchaeaceae. The record is from RNAcentral.